GCUCGUCCUUUUAGCCUUCAAGAGGUUUACUGAGGUGACAGGAGGAGAUCCAACUGAUGGAGCAGCCUUGAGGAACUCUCAGUAUAUAUAUGGCAGAACCGUCGGCUUACAGUCAGUUCUCUCACAUUCUGCAAUAAUGGAGUGGCGUGUGCUCAUCGUCUUGGUGCUCAUGGCUGUGUUGGCCGCCUAUGUUGGCGCCGAGGCCAUACGUCCUGGCCAGGGUGGCCAUGGCAUCCGUAUUCCCGGUCCAGGCGGAGGCUUCAACGGUGGAGGAAUUCGUCAUUUUGGCAAGUGAGGCGCACAAGCUGCCAUCCUCAAGGAUUACGCUUCAUGGCCACUAUGAAGAUUUUCGACUUUACCAACGCCGUUGAAGAUGCCUUUAUGCCUUUGUCUUUCCCACUCAAGGAAUUUUUAGAUUAUUCUUAAUCACAGAAAUUAUAUCUAUUGUAAAAUCUAUUAUAAUAUACCAAUAAUAUGCUCUUCCUUAAAUAAAGCUUUUUUUUUUU
Molecule: long non-coding RNA, 506 nt
Organism: Cherax quadricarinatus
Lineage: Eukaryota; Metazoa; Arthropoda; Malacostraca; Decapoda; Parastacidae
Source: RefSeq, a predicted model, not a curated record